RNAcentral lists this ribosomal RNA (505 nucleotides) under uncultured bacterium. RNAcentral's name for it is "partial 16S ribosomal RNA". It matches the Rfam family "Bacterial small subunit ribosomal RNA", at positions 28 to 507 of the family's 1533-position model. The record is from RNAcentral.
GACGAACGCUGGCGGCGUGCCUAAUACAUGCAAGUAGAACGCACAGUUUAUACCGUAGCUUGCUACACCAUAGACUGUGAGUUGCGAACGGGUGAGUAACGCGUAGGUAACCUGCCUGGUAGCGGGGGAUAACUAUUGGAAACGAUAGCUAAUACCGCAUAAUAUUGAUUAUUGCAUGAUAAUUAAUUGAAAGGUGCAAUUGCACCACUACCAGAUGGACCUGCGUUGUAUUAGCUAGUAGGUGAGGUAACGGCUCACCUAGGCGACGAUACAUAGCCGACCUGGGGGGGUGAUCGGCCACACUGGGACUGAGACACGGCCCAGACUCCUACGGGAGGCAGCAGUAGGGAAUCUUCGGCAAUGGACGAAAGUCUGACCGAGCAACGCCGCGUGAGUGAAGAAGGUUUUCGGAUCGUAAAGCUCUGUUGUAAGAGAAGAAAGGGUGUGAGAGUGGAAAGUUCACACUGUGACGGUAUCUUACCAGAAAGAGACGGCUAACUACGUG